This 253-nucleotide ribosomal RNA is filed under the name uncultured bacterium. RNAcentral's name for it is "partial 16S ribosomal RNA". It matches the Rfam family "Bacterial small subunit ribosomal RNA", at positions 524 to 776 of the family's 1533-position model. The record is from RNAcentral.
UACGAGUGCCCCGAGCGUUAUCCGGAAUCAUUGGGCGUAAAGGGUGUGUAGGUGGCAGUGUUAGUCGAUUGUUAAAACCUGGGGCUCAACCCCAGAUCCGCGAUCGAAACGGCACAGCUAGAGGAUGGCAGGGAUCUGUGGAACUCAUGGAGUAGGGGUGAAAUCCGUUGAUAUCAUGGGGAACACCAAAAGCGAAGGCAGCAGAUUGGGCCACUCCUGACACUGAAACACGAAAGCGUGGGUAGCGAAUGGG